Molecule: ribosomal RNA, 169 nt
Filed under: uncultured bacterium
Lineage: Bacteria
Description: partial 16S ribosomal RNA
Rfam family: Bacterial small subunit ribosomal RNA
Source: RNAcentral
CCUACGGGAGGCAGCAGUGGGGAAUAUUGCACAAUGGGGGAAACCCUGAUGCAGCGACGCCGCGUGGAGGAAGAAGGUUUUCGGAUUGUAAACUCCUGUCGUUAGGGACGAUAAUGACGGUACCUAACAAGAAAGCACCGGCUAACUACGUGCCAGCAGCCGCGGUAAU